UGGAACUGCCCUUCUUGGGCGUUUCCUCCCAAUCGACUUCCGGCCUCGUCGCCUCGUGCGACGGGGCUGUUUUUUGUCCGGA
RNAcentral lists this small RNA (82 nucleotides) under Brevundimonas sp. G8. RNAcentral describes it as "suhB". It matches the Rfam family "Makes More Granules Regulator RNA (mmgR)". From Rfam's summary of the family: SuhB later renamed mmgR (makes more granules regulator) was a putative non-coding RNA found multiple times in the Agrobacterium tumefaciens genome and related alpha-proteobacteria. Lineage: Bacteria; Pseudomonadati; Pseudomonadota; Alphaproteobacteria; Caulobacterales; Caulobacteraceae. The record is from RNAcentral.